UGAAAUGCCUCUCAGAUUUCAAUACCAAAUCAUAUUUGGAUGACAAACUUUGGAAUUGCAUAGCUACAUGACUCAAAAAUGAAAUCUGACUACAAAUGAAUUUAUAGCAAUAAACAUAAAAUAAAUAUUCUAAAAAUGCACCAGGAAAACGCAAAUGGCCAUACAAUGACAACAAUAUUUUCUUACGAUAACAUAACACAAAUUUAAUACAAUAACAAACAGCACAUACUCUCAAAUAUGGUCUCGUACAGGACAUAAAUCACAAUCAUUCAAAUGGAUAGGUCCAAAUGCUUAACAGAAACAGUGCGUGGCAGUAGUACAUAAAUUGUUCCAAGUUCAAUAGGGCAUAAAAUAGAUAGUUCGAUGUUCAAUAAGACAUACAAGAACACACACAUAUCAGAAAAGCAUCAAGCUUCAAGGCACCAUUAGCAGCCAUGUCUUCCUCAUGGUGACGGGCAGCUCCUUUAGAGCUUGAAACAGACGAUCAUUGAGUACCAACUUCCCAUAACAUCGAAGCAUGUCUUCCUCGGCCAAAUCAGGUAUCAAGCUAAGUGCAUCAAGUAUUUCAACGGGAUUAGCUGCUUUGGUAUGGGUUGAAAAAAGGACUUACCAGACCUGCUUUAGAGGGGAGGGACAGACCUGCACCACCACUGGCCGCCGUGGUGGUCGCCCCCGCCGCCGGCCGCCUGGUUGCCUGCUAGGUCGGCUCUUGUUCGCCCCUCCCGUUCCCCUUCUGGCUGGCUUCCUUUUCUAUUUCGCGGGCCGAAGCGGUAUGUUUUGCGAGAGAGUGAUUUCGGACCAAUUCUGAGGGUCGCCCCUUCGAAACGUGGGAGGCAGUUUUUAAUUGAGAGGAGUACAUAUUUGAAACGAGUGGCGUGUGAAAGACGUGUGAAAAACCUUUUACACCGAAACACACACANNNNNNNNNNNNNNNNNNNNNNNCUAAGUAG
Molecule: long non-coding RNA, 950 nt
Filed under: Hordeum vulgare
Lineage: Eukaryota; Viridiplantae; Streptophyta; Magnoliopsida; Poales; Poaceae
Description: long non-coding RNA (HVUL_LNC004352)
Source: RNAcentral